Cyprinus carpio carpio is the source of this 385-nucleotide long non-coding RNA. The record is from Ensembl. Lineage: Eukaryota; Metazoa; Chordata; Actinopteri; Cypriniformes; Cyprinidae.
AAGCCACACACAUGACUGUGUUGCUUUGAAACCUUCCUCUGUUUGUUGCCAGAGAAGACAGCAUUUUUCAAACAGGGCCAACAUGAUUGCUAUGGCAACCAAAUUCAUUUUACAUUCGGUCACAACCGAAUAAACAAAUGUUGGAAGGAAAGGAGAAAAGACGAAAGGGCAAGAGAAGGAGCCUCACACAUGCCUGUGUUGCCUCGAAGCCUUCCUCUGUUUACUGCCAGCAAAGACAGCAUUUUUUAAACAUGGCCAACAUGAUUGCUAUGGCAACAAAAUUAAUUUUACAUCUGGUCAUGUGAUUAAUCAAAUAAUUAUCUAAUCAUGACAUUUAGCAUUUAUUUCGGAGGCAACCGUACCCCUGCCCCACCCCAUAUAUCAC